Molecule: non-coding RNA, 32123 nt
Organism: Pelobates cultripes (western spadefoot toad)
Lineage: Eukaryota; Metazoa; Chordata; Amphibia; Anura; Pelobatidae
Source: the annotation of a GenBank genome assembly
CCAUAUUUAAGAUAAUAUCAAGUCGGCAUUCCAGGUAAUGUCUGUCAGUGCAGGUUGGAUCUGAAAGAAUAAAAACAAAAUGGACGUUACACAAACUGACCAAGGCUUGCAAUAUUUAUACUUAGAUUCUGAACACUGCAAUACAAUUAAUGAGAAAGCUGUAACAUACUAAGUAAAACUAUCAGUCACAGAGAAAUGUUAUAUUAGAGCAGGGUUAGGCAGCCUUUUAGCAGUACUGUGCUAAAACAAUAUCUCGAAGUCUCUUGAUGUGCCAACCCAAAUUUUGUAUCUGUGUAUGUUGCCGUAUUCUGCUUAUUUAUGGGCGGCUUUGUAACAUUGUAUUUGUGCGCAUGCAGACUAUUCUAUUGUAUAUGUUCAUUAGUAAUUUGUGGCAUUUUCUAUGAUACCUAUGAAUGUAGGCUGUGUAUGGGGGCUGCUUGUGGAAUUGCGUGUGUGGAUGAUAUGUCACAGUGUGUUUGGUGGUGUUUGUAUGUGUGGGGUUGCUUGUGGUAUUGCAUGUGGUAUUGUGGUAUUGCAAACUGUGUGUGUUUGUUUGUGGGUGGUCAGUAUAAUUGGUGUAUGAUAGGGAGGCUUAUUCUCGAAUUUUUUGUAUAUUUAUCUAGUGUGUGGCUUCCUUGGGUUUCAGUGGGGACCAGGUUGGCUAGGUACAGGUCAAAGGCAGGAUAUGCGAUAGUUGGUGGGGGCUGCUCUACUCCAGUACGGAUUCAUGUUCACAAGUGCUCGAAUGGUAAAUUGAGAAUUAUCCCUCACCACCUUUUGGCAUUAGGUGGUGAUUACUGAAUUUCCACCAGGACUCUUGAUAGGCCAGAGCCUGUUUGGGUCUAGCAGCCUUGAGUGCUGUACAAAGGCUCCUUGAGUGCUAUGCUUGGCAGAUGUGCCGUAGGUUGCUGACCCCUGUAAUAGAGGGGUUGUCCAUAUUCUUCACUAAUGGAUUAGACGCAAAACAAGGAGGGUGGAAAACUAGAUAUUAAAAAAAACACAAACUUAAAAAAAAAAAAAGUUAGUUUUAUCGAUAGCUCUAAGCACAAGAUUUAGGACAGGAUAAUAACAGAACAACAACUAUAAAAAAGUAAUGAUCAACUAAAAGAUAACAGGUUCAUUCAGUCAAUAUUGUGUAUGGGAGGAGUUCUAAGCACAAGAGAUAAUGGUUGGAAAAAAAAUACAUCUGUUUUAGUCCAGUAAUUGAAGAGGGACUAUCAUUUCUGAAUUACUACUAAAUGUUUUUGUAAAUAUAUUGUGUAUUGUGUUACAUAUGAUGAAUACUGUAUAAUGUAUGCCUCAGAUUAUGGCUAAAUAUGGCAAUUAGCAGAGCUUUAGUCAGCAGCCAUUUGCAAUUCUUCGCCAUUUCUUAUUGCCCAUAACUCGUAACGCUGAAUGUGAGCAGACAUCUAAUGCAAUACACAACAGACUCCCAAUGGCAUUAACUGACAGCACGCGUGAUAAGAUCUGCGCAAGAUGCCACGAAAGUCUAUACUUGUGUAGAAAUAUAUUGCGACUCUUUAUAAAACUAUUCUGACAGCAGUUGAGAAGCUGAAAAUUGUGGCGUUGUAAAGAGAGCUUCAGAUUAUAUCUCUCUUCCCCUUAAACUACAAAAAAUACACAAGCUUUUUUUUAAAAUUACUUUAACCGCAAUGUAAAUAUAGCAUGCAACAAAAUAUAUAUACAUUGAACCAGGAAAGCUACAUUUAGCAUUAUAUAUUAAAGCGACACUAUAGUCACCAAAACAACUUUAGCUUAAUGAAGCCGUUUUGGUGUAUAGACCAUCUCCCUCGGUCUCACUCAAUUCUCUGCCAUUUAGGAGUUAAAUCACUUUGUUUAUGAACCCUAGUCACACCUCCCUGCAUGUGACUUGCACAGCCUUCCUAAACACUUCCUGUAAAGAGAUGAGUCUAAACACUUCCUGCAAAGAGUCAUCUAAAGUUUAUCCCUCCUUUAUUGCAAGUUCUGUGUAAUUUAGAUGGUCUUAUCCCCCGCUAUGUUAAUAGCUUGCUAGACCCUGCAAGAGCCUCCUGUAUGUGAUUAAAGUUUAAUUUACAGCGAAAGAGAUACAAUUGUUUAAGGUAAAUUACAUCUGAUUGAAAGUGAAACCAGUUUUUUGUUCAUGCAAGCUGUGUCAAUCAGAGUCAGGGGAGGUGUGGCUAGGGCUGCAUAAACAGAAACAAGGUGAUUUAACUCCUAAAUGGCAGUGAAUUGAGCAGUGAAACCUGAGGGGCAUGAUCUAUACACUAAAACUGCUUCAUUAAGCUAAAGUUGUUUAAGUGACUAUAGUGUCCCUUUAAUUUAAAGCUACUACAUUGUUGGGUCAAGUUAUUACCCAAUUUCAUGAAGCUCCUUUUAUUGACUUUGGAGGUUGAAGGUAACUAUAUCUACUGAGCUGUCUCAAAUUGUUGGAUUUUGCAAACAUAAACAAUAUGAACUACUGAAAGAAAUUAGAAUUACAAAGGAAAAAAAAUGUAUAGAGUCACAUUAAAGAAUCAUAGUGUCAGGAACACAAACAUGUAUGCCUGACACAAUGAUGUUAAACCCACUAUUUAGGUUUUGGGCCCCGCUGUCAUUGCAGUGAAAAUGUGUUUAAACUCACCUCUUCUUGCACACCACCCCAAUCUUGACGUGGCUGUCCUCGCCUCAAUGGCUCAGAGCCCACACUAACAGCCCAUUACUGCCAUCCAUAUUUCUUAAAAAUAUGAAAAACCUAAUUGAAGGGACACUCCUGACAGUUUAGAUUGCUCAAGUGCUUCAUGUGUGAAGAGUGCGAUUCCAUUUUCUUUUUCCAUUUUUCAAAAAGUACAGAUUUCAAUAGAAAUCGAUACUUUUAUAAAUGAACCUUGUUACACCCCCUGGCUGUCAAUCAGACAACCGGUUCUGUUACUUCCUGGUUUGGUUAGCUCAGUGGAGAUAAACUCAAGAGGCAGCACUUGUCCAGAGCACCUGCCUUGCAAAGACUUCUCAUUGAGUUGCAUUGGGAAGUCUGUGAUUGGACAGCCACAGAAUGUCUGAACGGGGUUAGAAGAGGAGGGCUUGCAAAGGCUGCAGACACGAAAUCUGCAGCUUUUGUAAGCUGUUUUUAGAUAUACCCUCAAUGAAAAAAUGCAUACUUAAAUGCAUGCAUCUUUUAAUUGGGGUAAAUCAAUAAUCAGUGAUUUUAUUUUUUUUUGUUGAAUUUGAUAACUUGAAAAUGGACAAAAUAAAAUGAAAACUCUGCAUCCAAACACUUCACACACCCGUGGCAUACUUUUUAGUGGUUAUGGUAUUUAGAGCAUUACUGUAAAUGAACACACCAAGCACUUACAAUGCCAGGACUGCCAUAGCCCCGUCCCAGGGUAAGAAUCAAACUUUCUGCUAACUGAUAGCCCGCGUCAGCCCUGCUCCUCAUGCGGACACCCCUUAGUCUCAGGUUAACUCUUUCACAACCAAGCAAUAUUUGUUUGACAUAAUAUUAGCGCACCAUUUACUUGAAACAAGGGAAGAAAAGCUGGCACAUACGCUUGUAAUAAAACAGAAAUUUUGUAUACCGAUUGCUUCUGAGAGAAACAACAAUUAACAUUGUAAAUAUACACCAUUUUUAUUUUUUAUUUAAUCCUUCAUAACUCUAUAAUAGUGCUUUGGGUAAUGAAAAGGUGUGGGUGGCACACAGUAUUCUGUAUCUUGCCAUAUUUUACACAGCGCUCGAUUUGUUAGUACAAAAGCAAUAAUAUAAUUUUUUUCACACACAGUAGGUGUGACAAAAUUGAUAAAAAUGGAAACAGACUGCUUGUGGGUAGUUAAAGGAAUUAUCUGCAGUACAGCUUACUGAAAGAGGCAACAGAAUGUAAAAAUAAUGUCUGCAUUUGAAUAUAAUGCCCACAUACAGGUAAUACCAUUAAAUCAUACAUUUCUAAGGUAAUUUAAAAAGUGUUAUUGCAAUCUUUACCAAUAUCUGGAAUGCCAACAUAAUGCCAACAGUAAAAUGGUAUUGCUCAUUUACUCAUGUCUGUAGGAAUGAUAUCACUCAUUAAAACUACCUAUACUGUUUGAAAGGAGUGGGUAGCUGUCUUGUUCAGCACACUUGCAGGCAAUACAUUGGUCACCAGGAAAUUAUUCCUAAAGUAUAAAUGAGGUUAAGUGAGGCUUUAUAGACAAAAUUUUGUUCUGCAUGUGAAUGACAGUAAAAAAAAGUUUAUACUUGAUUCUGUAAGUGAAGGGAUCAACAAUUCUUGAUGAGGUAUCCUGGCAGCAUGGGGAAAAUUAAACAGACCGAGAAUAACAUUAAAAUAACUAUUUAUAGGUGACUAUUUUCAUCACAGUGCAAAAAAACAGGUCCUCACAAAUGAAUAUAAUAUUGAAUUUUUACGAGGCACUUUGAAAGUGCAAAAUGUACAGUUUUUGGUAGGAAUGUGUCCGGGUACAACACGUACAGUUUGUUUCUUUCCACAGUGGCCAACUGGAUGCAAAAGGUUUCCUAAUGCUAAUCCAGAGUUAAAACUCAGCCACAUAAAAUACUCAGUGGAGCCCUGCCAAUGAUCCAACAACACGGGCCUGCCAAUGAUCCAACCACUCAGGCCUGCCAAUGAUCCAACCAUUCAGGCCUGCCAAUAAUCCAACAGCACGGGCCUGCCAAUGAUCCAACAACACGGGCCUUCCAAUGAUCCAACAGCACGGGCCUGCCAAUGAUCCCACAACACGGGCCUGCCAAUGGUUUACCAACUCAGGCCUGCCAAUGGUUCAACAACACGGGCCUGCCAAUGAUCCAACAACACGGGCCUGCCAAUGAUCCAACAACACGGGCCUGCCAAUGAUCCAACAACACGGGCCUGCCAAUGGUUUACCAACUCAGGCCCGCCAAUGGUUCAACAACACCGGCCUGCCAAUGAUCCAACAACACGCCUGCCAAUGGCACAACAACUCAGGCCUGCCAAUGAUCCACAACAACACCGCCUGCCAAUGGCACAACAACUCAGGCCUGCAAUGAUCUAAGAACCCAUGCCUGCCAAUGAUCCAAGAACCCAUGCCUGCCAAUGAUCCAAGAACCCAUGCCUGCCAAUGAUCCAAGAACCCAUGCCUGCCAAUGAUCCAAGAACCCAUGCCUGCCAAUGAUCCAAGAACCCAUGCCUGCCAAUGAUCCAACAACACGGGCCUGCCAAUGAUCCAACAACACGGGCCUGCCAAUGAUCCAACAACUCAGGCCUACCAAUGAUCCAACCACUCAGGCCUGCCACCAUCACUCCAACAUGGGCUUACAAACAAUGCUCUAACACAGGUUUGCAAGCGAUGCUCCGAGACAGACCUGCAAGCAACACUCCAACACAAGACUGUCAUAAAUGUUUCACAACAGACCUACCAUCAAUGUUAUUACACCAACCGGUCAUGGAUGAUCUAACACUUGCCUGCCAGCAAAGUUCUGACACAGGCUGCCAGCGACGCUCCAACACAGGCUGCCAGCGAUGCUACAACACAGGCUGCCAGCGGCACUCCAACACAGGCUGCCAGCGGCACUCCAACACAGGCCCUCCUGUUUUACAGCUAAAAGAAGGUGAACUUGCAAAUGUCCUAACUUAGGCCUCAAUAUAGUUCGUUUGGAUCAGCAUCAGAAAUUAUCACAAUCUGUUAGAACAUUUUUCAAAUGAUUUAUUUUUCAAAAUUCCCACAUAUUUUCAUGGAAACUUCUCUAGAUAAAUAAUUUGAAAAGUUUUUCUAACAGAGUGAUCAUUUCUGGUGCUGUUCCAAAAUUAUUAAAGGGACACUAUAGGACCAGACCUCUUCAGCUCAUUGAAGUGUUCUUGGUGCAGUGUCUUGGGCCCCUGAACCUUGCAAUGGUAAUUACUGCAGUUGUUAUGGGUUAACUCUACCUCUAGUGGUUGACUACCAGACAGCCACUAGAGGGACUUCCAGGUCGUUAGGCGACUUUUGGUUGCCUGACUCUGGACGUCCCCACGCUUUGCACGAGGCCAUACAGCGUCACCCAAAACCCCAUAGGAAAGCAUUGUGUGAGAAGUCCUAAUGUGAGCGCGGCUGUCCCAGGAAUGCGCAUUAGUUCCCCCUUGCCGACUGAAGUCGGCGGGAGAGGAGCAAAGAUGGAACCAAAACCAGUGCCGAGAGACAUGGGCGCUGGAAUUAGGUAAGUGACAGAAGGGGUUUUAAACCUCUUCUGCAGCACGGGGGAGAGGAGCGAGGAAGGGGGGCAUUAUAGUUUACCUUUAAAUCGAGGCCUUCGCUAUUUUGAAGUUUAGCUUUCAAUUCACCACAGCUCACAGUCUAAUGGAAAAUCCCCUCUACACUCCACAAACAACCGGACACACACUCACAAUAGGCUUAAUUUACUAAAUAGUGCUUUGAAAGAUUUCAAAAUCAAAUAACAAAAUCUUGUCUAAUUCCUGGUAAGAUAUGGCAGUACAGAUAAAUAAUUGUGUUAGUGUACUGAUCUACAAUCAAUAAAUCGUACCAAUAGAUCUUAUUUACAGAAACCUAGAAUGUGACAGCAGAUAAGAACCAUUCGGCCCAUCUAGUCUGCCCAAAUGUUCUAAAUACUUUCAUUAGUCCCUGGCCUUAUCUUAUAGUUAGGAUAGCCUUAUGCCUAUCCCACGCAUGCUUAAACUCCUUUACUGUGUUAACCUCUACCACUUCAGCUGGAAGGCUAUUCCAUGCAUCCACUACCCUCUCAGUAAAGUAAUACUUCCUGAUAUUAUUUUUAAACCUUUGUCUCUCUAAUUUAAGACUAUGUCCUCUUGCUGUGGUAGUUUUUCUUCUUUUAAAUAUGGUCUCCUCCUUUACUGUGUUGAUUCCCUUUAUGUAUUUAAAUGUUUCUAUCAUAUCCCCCCUGUCUCGUCUUUCCUCCAAGCUAUACAUGUUAAAUUUCUUUAACCUUUCCUGGUAAGUUUUAUCCUGCAAUCCAUGAACCAGUUUACAGAGAGCAGUUCAAGGGAACAGUCAUUGUACUCUGUUUCAGAAUAUGUUGGUGCUUUACAAACAUUAAAGAUAUAUUUAACACCUUAAGGACACAUGACGGAAAUAUUCCGUCAUGAUUCCCUUUUAUUCCAGAAGUUGUGUCCUUAAGGGGUUAAUAAGUGAAACAUUUCAUAAUUAUUAUAUGGAAUGUAUAUUCAGUGAUAUGUAUUAUACAUGACAAUGACUUGCAGGAACACAAAGGUACAAAAUGCAUGUUCUGCAGAUAAGAUCUAAUGAUUAAAGGAAAAGGAAAUGUUUUAUGAUGUUUCGGUAAAUAUGGAAAGGAGAGAAUAUUAGAUUUACCGCAAGUCACAUAACACAACAUGGAAGUAACCCUGUGAGUGCCGGGGGAGGGUGGGGAAGGGCAAUAAAACACAGCACAAAAUAGAUUAUUAUUUUUAACACAUCUAAUUGUGUGGUCUUACUAUAAUCUAGUGCCAGGGAUACCAAGCUGUCUGGGAGAAAGCCACUAGAGGCUGACUUAGUGCUGCAUUGUAAACAUUGAACUUUCUGAGUGUAUAACAGAGCUCCACAGCAAUAAUACUCCCAGUAAUGAGUCUGAGUGUAUAACAGAGCUCCACAGCAAUAAUACUCCCAGGGAUGUGUCUGAGUGUAUAACAGAGCUCCACAGCAAUAAUACUCCCAGUAAUGUGUCUGAGUGUAUAACAGAGCUCCACAGCAAUAAUACUCCCAGUAAUGUGUCUGAGUGUAUAACAGAGCUCCACAGCAAUAAUACUCCCAGUAAUGUGUCUGAGUGUAUACAGAGCUCCACAGAAAUAAUACUCCCAGUGAUGUGUCUGAGUGUAUAACAGAGCUCCACAGCAAUAAUACUCCCAGUAAUGUGUCUGAGUGUAUAACAGAGCUCCACAGCAAUAAUACUCCCAGUAAUGUGUCUGAGUGUAUAACAGAGCUCCACAGCAAUAAUACUCCCAGUAAUGUGUCUGAGUGUAUAACAGAGCUCCACAGCAAUAAUACUCCCAGUAAUGUGUCUGAGUGUAUAACAGAGCUCCACAGCAAUAAUACUCCCAGUAAUGUGUCUGAGUGUAUAACAGAGCUCCACAGCAAUAAUACUCCCAGUAAUGUGUCUGAGUGUAUAACAGAGCUCCACAGCAAUAUUACUCCCAGUAAUGUGUCUGAGUGUAUAACAGAGCUCCACAUCAAUAAUACUCCCAGUAAUGUGUCUGAGUGUAUAACAGAGCUCCACAGCAAUAUUACUCCCAGUAAUGUGUCUGGGUGUGUAACAGAGCUCCACAGCAAUAAUACUCUCAGUAAUGUGUCUGAGUGUGUAAAAGAGCUCCACAGCAAUCAUACUCCCAGUAAUGUGUCUGAGUGUAUAACAGAGCUCCACAGCAAUAAUACUCCCAGCAAUGUGUCUGAGUGUAUAACAGAGGUCCACAGCAAUAAUACUCCCAGUAAUGUGUCUGAGUGUAUAACAGAGCUCCACAGCAAUAAUACUCCCAGUAAUGUGUCUGAGUGUAUAACAGAGCUCCACAGCAAUAAUACUCCCAGUAAUGUGUCUGAGUGUGAGCUCACAGCAAUAAUACUCCCAGUAAUGUGUCUGAGUGUAUAACAGAGCUCCACAGCAAUAAUACUCCCAGUAAUGUGUCUGAGUGUAUAACAGAGCUCCACAGCAAUAAUACUCCCAGUAAUGUGUCUGAGUGUAUAACAGAGCUCCACAGCAAUAAUACUCCCAGUAAUGUGUCUGAGUGUAUAACAGAGCUCCACAGCAAUAAUAAUCCCAGUAAUGUGUCUGAGUGUAUAACAGAGCUCCACAGCAAUAAUACUCCCAGUAAUGUGUCUGAGUGUAUAACAGAGCUCCACAGCAAUAAUACUCCCAGUAAUGUGUCUGAGUGUAUAACAGAGCUCCACAGCAAUAAUACUCCCAGUAAUGUGUCUGAGUGUAUAACAGAGCUCCACAGCAAUAAUACUCCCAGUAAUGUGUCUUUACUGCUCUAAAAUGUGCCCAGACUUGUCUGGUUUUAUUGCUGAACAUGUAAUGAGUCACACAAAGAGCGCAGUCACAGUUGGGAAAUCUGUUGCAGAUUUGCAGACUAAUAGAGCACCAUGGGAAAUGUAGUUUUUUUUAUUAUACAGCCUUGAGAAGUGAUGGCUAGUCUUGGCUUUACUAAGAUGCAGGUUUGCAUAGCUUCAUGGCAAAUUUAGUUUCUGCUGCCGGACAGGCUAUAACUCAUGCCAAAUGCCCCUAAACUAAGCUUUAUAAAAUUAUCUUAUUGCCACAAAAGAAAGUUUAGAUUUUUAUUUCUGCUGCCUUGCUAUGAAAAUAUAUUCAAAACUCUUUUGAUUUGCUAUAAUCACAAAAGAAGUACCUUAUCAAAAAUAUCCCUUUAUUGAUACACUGUAGUUAAGAAUCCCUUUAACACUUUGACCUCUGUGAGUCUAUGCAGAAUUAAACCACGUAGUGAGAUCAAGCUGUGGAUUUUAGCAGACACAAAUCAAAUGGUAUUUGAUAAGAAGGCUUAUCAAACAAAUUAUAUAAUGAAGAAAAUAUUUGUUUCCCUAAGACAAGCAUCCGUAUAUUAUAAUGUAUUUAAAUGCAAAAAACAAAAAUGUCUUUUUCACCAUGCGUGCUACGUUAUCUAUAUUGAGCUGGAAUAAUAACGGUGACAUUGUGACAUUGUUUUGCAGACGACUUCCUUGUGGCCAAAAUAUAUAUAUAUAUAUAUAGUGUUUAAAAAUAACAAGGAUAAAAGUGAUACAUGGAAAGUAUACUGUGGUUUGUUAAUAGAAAACGAACCAGAAAAUAUUUCCUUUGCUAAAGAAAACUUCGAAAAAAAUACUUCCUUUGAAAAAAACAACUAACGCUAUUCAUAAACAACCGAACAUAACACACACGGGCAAAUCAACAGAAACAUGCCCACAAGUUAAACCUUUUUUUUACAUAACUGUAUUCAAGAAUCAACAAAGGGAAUGUGGGUAAAGAAAUGAGCAAAUUUUAAAUUUAAAUAGCUUUAAUUUAGGCCAAUAUCUUAUUUAUUAAAAUGAUGGUGUAUUAAGAUUUACUUAGCAGAUGUUUAUCAUUUUAUACAACUUUUUAUUCCGUCACCAUUAGGUAAGGAGUAUACUCCCCCCAAAAAUAAAGUCUUUGUAGAAAACAUUAAAAGACACCAUUAAAGCAGAAAUACAAAAUGCACAGUACAAAAAGGUGCCGUAUAAAUUAAACUUGUUAAUCUGUUCUCUCUUUAUUGCCCCUGUUUCUUGGAACGUUACAGAAAAUAGCUAUUUUAAAGGGACACUAUAGUCACCAGAACAACUACAGCUUAUUGUAUUUGUCCUGGUGAGUAGAAUCAUUACCUGCAGGCUUUUUGCUGUAAACACUGUCUAAAUUAAUAAUGCUUUUCCUCUCCCCAUGUUCAGCAUGCGCACACACGGCGGAAUGGGGAAUUGCACAGGUGCAUUCAUGGAAUUCUAUGGGAAGUCCAGUAGCAAGCUUAGCUUCUGGUAAAAAAUCUAGGAAAUUCUUGAAAAGUUACGUUUAUUCCUUCCCCACCCCUCACGCCUACAGGUACAUUUUAAAGUAAAUUUAGGCCUUGGAUUUUAUAGCAAGGAAUGUAAAUAUGUAAAUCUGUCUGCAGUAACACCAUCUGCAAGUAUAUAGAUAGAAAGAAAUGAUCCUUCUGGCCUAUCUCCAUACAGAGCACUGGCAGGAACAAUUAUUGUUUUAGAACGAUCGCAUUUAUCCAUAUCUUUGUUGAAUGUCCGUGGGGGAUAUCCAACAAAUGCCAAAUUUUGGAUUCGGAUUUCAGUUCUCAGUCACUUUCAUUUUUUCAGUUUUUUUCUUUAAUAAACUGGGUUAAAUUCCUCCAAGAUUCAUUUUAUACACUAUCGCCCCAAAAACAUUGAGCUGAACAGGUCCCGUAACUUUCAAAUAGAUCUCAUUGUAGCAUUGAUAAAACCGAUCGGCAGCUAAAUGUUCCCCAUAUAACAAAAUAAAAAUGCUUGAGGUGUUUAGAGUAAAGUCAAAAUGAUUUAGGGUGAGGAGGGUUUUGUAUUACAGAAAAUUCCGUGGACUGUAAUCAUGGAAUGAAACUAAAUGAAAGAUUCCGUAGCUAUUCAGUUAUUUGUUACUAGGAGAAUUAGCCAGCAUGUAGGGAAAUUUAGAAAUUAGAAUUGCUAACUCAACUAGACUUGGAUGAGAGUGCAAAACAUGGAUGAAAUAUCUAAAAUGUUCCUUGUGUGAAUAGAAGUAACUCUAUUUUGGAUAUUUAGUUGCUAUCUGGCACUUACUAAACAAACCUCUUUUUUUGUUAAUGCAAACAUUUGUUCAUAAAUGCCUUAGAAUAAUCUCUGGGGUCUUGAUCUAACUGAUUUGUAAUUUCUGAUCACGUUUUUUUUAUUUUUGUCGACUCAACAAAAUGCGUCGGUCUCAAGGAAGGUGGAGGAAAUGAUCAGGUUACUACAUCUUAAAAGGGAUACUUUGCUGAAGUGCUUCAUGUAUGAAGAGUGUGUGUUUUCAUUCUACAAAAAAGUGCAGAUUUUGAGCGUGGUUAAAAGAGGAGUGCUUGCACAUGCUGCAGACAAGAAAUCUGCAGCUAUUGCAAGCUGUUUUUAGCUGUUUUCAAUGAAGGUAAAUCUACUAAAUAGUAGUUUAAAAAAAAAAAAAAAACACUUAUAUUUUUGUAUUUGGCCAGUGGAGUGCCUCUUCAAUCUAUCCUUUUCCUUGUGAUUCUAAUUUUAUACAUAGCUGAACCUAAUAACUCGUGCAGAUGUUUUGUGAAUACCAGGUUCAUUUUAUAGAGGACUGCAGUGAUUACAAAGGAAGCAUUUUAAAAAUGACUCAUAAUGUUAUCUAUAACUUUCUAUUUUUCAAGGUGUGUCACACAUGCCUCCUGAAAAGACACAGGCUGGGCCCUCCAUGUAAAGUAACAUAUUGUCCUAUAAUCCCUGGUGUGACUGAUGGGAUACAGCCGCUUUCUGAUUGCAGGAGACAUAGUAAAUAAAAUAGCAAUUAAGAUGCAACUUGGACAGGGUAUUAGAUUUAACCAGAACUUAGACGACCACACAGGGGCUUUAAAAAACUGUAAGCAAACUGGGUUGUUUAUAAUUAUGUUUCUUGUUGCUUCGUUAACAUUAUGCAAAUCCAAUGAAUUCAUCAUUUGCUUUACUUGCACUUUUUUUUUUUCUACAAAAUGGGAAUUUCCCAACGUAACGUUUGAGAGCUAAUGACAUGUUAACGGCUGCUGAUGAGGCAUUAACAAUAUAAACAGGAUCACAAUCUCGCAAUGCACAUACUCUUCUGCAACACUUUUAGAAUGAUCAGUUUGAUGAAUAAAGGCCGUAUGCCUUAUGUUACAUAGUUGAGAUUAAAGUAAUUACUUAAAGACAACAUGUUCUCCUCUGUCCAUGUUGUCUGCCCUUUGCCCUGCUGUGGGCGUAUGUUAACUAAUGGAUUGUGGGUAAAUUAGCACCUGAAAUGGAACUUUAUUUAAAGAAACACUCCGGGCAGCAUAACUACUUUAUCGGAAUGAAGUUGUUAUGAUUCCAAGAGGUCCCUAAUGCUGGCUGACCCACAGGGUAAGACUGCUAAUGAACGGUUUAACCCCAAAGUCUUCUGUCCAGUGCCAGUCAUCUCCGCCCACAUACUUCCAUUACAGUCCGAGGAGUUAAACAGGGAUACUGUUAUCGGCUGAAAGUUUCAGCUGUGUAUCCAAUAUUAUAUAUUGAUCGUUCCUUUGACAGUAGUAUCACAAAAGGUAGGAGAAUUACAAUUUGUCACUUAGUAAACCCCUAAAUAUUUUACUCUUAAAAAUAAACAACAAAUUGUGUAAAUCCUUGAGCUUUCGCAAUGUACCAGGAAAACCUUUGCUGUGGUUAAGAGGCCAUCUCUGUGUCAGUUACUGUUAGAACAUGUGAAUCCGCUGAUGGACAAUGAAGUCACCAGUCCGAUGACAUCACUGUAAACUCUACGCAGAAAUGUAAGAAGACGGUAAUAUGGGCAUCCUGCUGAGGAGGGAAAAGUGCUAGUUAACUGAAAGAGAGAAAGCACAUUAUACUUAAUCAUCUGGGAUGAACCUAAGGAAAAUGUCAAGACCAUGAAUCAUUGCUGAAUCUAUCCAAAUUGCCAGCGAGGAGACUUUCUCCUAAAACAUUUAUCAUGCUUGCCCUUGCAUUCUAAAACUCUACACAUGCACUGGAUUGAUGGGUUAUGGAGAUUGCCACUCAUGUACCAGGUGUCCCGAAGCAUUUCAUCGAACAUGUGCCAAGUGUCCCGAUGCUUCUCUAUGAGAAGCAUCUGAUUGAACACAAGUCAUCACAAAUGAUAACUUCACAGAAGGCAGGCAGGAGUUGCAAUGAGCAGACACUCCUGGUGCUGAAAUCGAGAGGAGUUUAUUUGCUAUUUAAUCCUUUCAAUGUUAUGCUCUGUGCAAUGUUCUGCUGGGAAUCCUUAGCAGACUGGUCACAGUCGAGAUAGUAUUAUCAGUCAAUCUUAUUUUCUCUCGAGCCAAAACCCUUAUUUUUAAUGCAUUAUAUAAGUAGUGCAUUAAAAUUUAUAAAUAAAAAAAUGUAGACUAAAAAAAGAUACACACCUUCAAAGUUCCAUUUGAUGUGCUGGUUACUGUGUCAGCCUAUAGCUGCAUACAGACAUCUCCUCAUCUGAAAAUGCCUCUUAUUUUAGUAAUUCAUCCCCUUGGGUAGUUAUUCGUUACAUUCAUCACACAGGAUGAUAUGAAUUGAUCUGUAAAAUAAUAGUGAGGUAACUCAGUUGGUAAAUUCCCUGACUACAGAGUCUGUUAAAAAAAAUAUUUAAAAAAUGCAAGAUCACAGGUUCAGAUCCCAGCAGGGUCAACUCAGCCCUUCAUUCUUCUGAGGUUGAUAAAAUGAGUACCAUCAGUUUGGUAAUAAUAACAACGUCUAUUAUUAUUCAGCUGCUGAUUGGGUGAAUUCUGAGUAAAUAUGAGUCUAACUGGGAGAAAUACUAGUUAUUAUGUUAUAUAAUAUACUGCUGUGGUCAGUUUGCACAUAGCCUAGCUCAUUGUUUAGUGAUCUGGACUAGUCACAGUCAGGAUGUCUGCAGCUCAGCUCUCUCAGUACAAGUUGGUGUGGCGGACUGACUGGCACCCCGACUGCGUGCCUCCGCCAAUCGAUGCUUCCUAGUGCUCACCAAGCACUCCACCAGACACCGUAAACACCGCAGCCAGCGUUGGGUUCUUGCUGUCCUGGACCAAAGACCCAAGAACUCUCACUUUAACCUUUAAUAAGGUAUUUUAGUCCCCAGAGAACCCGACACAACUAUACAUGGGUGGUAUCAAUGUACUCGGGAGAUGUUGCUGAACACAUAUUGGGGAGUUAUUUGGCAGUAACCCUUAAAGUUCUCAGUAUAUGUAUUCUUAAAUUGCUAUGUGGGUCAAAAAAAUCACCAAUUUUGGAGGUUUUUUUUUGGCAUAGAUUGGUGGUAAAAUGGUUGCACGAAAAGAGUCAAAAUACCCCAACCUUAGGUUGUCUUCUUUUAAAAAAAUAUAUACAUGUGUAGGGUUAUUCAGGAAUUCCUGACAGAUAUCAGUGUUACAAUGUAACUUGCGUUAAUUUUGAAGAAAAAAAAAAUGGUUUGGGCAUAGCAAAGUGCUACUUGUACGUAUAGCCCUAUAACUUCCAAAAAAAGCUAAGAACAUGUUAACAUUGCAUAUUUCUAAACUCAAGACAAAAUUUUGACUACUACUACCAACUAUUUAGAAUGGGUGUUUUUUGGGGGUUGUAGAUGCAUAACAUAUUUUUGGGCUCAAAGUUAGAAAAAGUGUGUUUUUUUAAAUUAUUUCAUCAUAUUUUAUAAUAUUAUUUAUAGUAACAUAUGAUAUGAUGAAAAUAAUGGUAUCUUUAAAAAAGACCAUUUAAUGGCGAGAAGAACGGUAUAUAAUAUGUGUGGAUACAGUAAGUGAGUACGAGGAAAAUUACAGUUAAACACAAACACUGCAGAAAUGUAAAAACAGCCCUGGUCCUUAACGGUAACAAAAUUGAAAAGCGGUCUGGUCACUAAGGGGUUAAUACACACACACACACACACACAGAUAUUUUAUACUUUAAUAUUUUGACAAAAUCAUUUCAAAAGUUUAUCCAAAAAUAUCAAAUAAUUUGAAAAGAUUAAACAAAAAUAUUAAAUCGAAGCCUUGUUCAUUUUGUUAAAGCCUGAGCUUAUCUUGCAGGGAAUCGAACCUGCGACUCAGACAGGAGCCCUAGCCACUGAAAUUUCUCACUAGGUUAGCAGUCUGUUUUUCUUUUUCGAACUUGCUGACUAAGCUAUUGCCAGGGAAUAGAUUUUUGGUACUUUAUACGAAUAUAGAAGUAAAUAAAAUGAAAGGAAAACAAUUUGUGCAAAUGUGUCCGGUGUUUGUGCCAAGUCACUGCAAGUUUCCCUUUUCCCUAUAAAAAACUGUUUCCUAAAUAAAAACAGGUCGACAAAAACAGCUUGGUUGGGCAAAGUAUGUGUUAAUUUAGACCCUCAGCGUUUCCCGUUUCCAAAAAAACAAGGAUAUUGAACAGUCUGCCAUCAGAUUUUAUUUACCUCCACAGGAAAGGCCUGAUUUAUAGAUGACCUAAAACCUUCCACAACAAGUGUUGGAAAUAAUAACACGUUCAAAAAGUCAUCUUGGUGUAUAGAUGCAAAAAUAAAUAUCUGAUUAAAGAGGCACGGUUCCAAAAAUGUUUUACGAGCGUAUAUAAAGCGACAGCGAAAGUCUAAGCUCAAGAGGCCACGAAAUUCUGUUUUGCUUUGAACUUCUGUACAAAACAAAUUACGCGUACAAGCUGAAAGUCUUUACAGUGAUGUCUUUAAUUUAAGGACACAUGACAUGUGUGACAUGUCAUGAUUCCCUUUUAUUCCAGAAGUUUGGUCCUUAAGAGGUUAAACUGGGAGCAUCAAUUGAAAAGAGAAAUUAAAAUUAAUCACUAAAGCAUAAUAAAUACUUAUAAUUUGCAUUCAGUAUUAGCAAACAAUUUAGGCAGAUGUUAAGAUAUUUGUAAAAAUACUUCUACAAUAUUAUCUACAUGUUCUUAAUGUAUUACAUACAGAGAGAACAUUAAAUACGGCGGGUAGAAACAUUUUAUCUACUAUUAAUUUACUAGAAAUGUUUUACAUGUGAUAAAAUAUGAAGAUUACUUUGUCAUUUUUAUUGACUUUAUUAUUAUGCUAUAUUAAAUCUUGGGGAUUUGCAUUAAAUGAAGAAUCGUAAGAAGUUUGUAUAUUACAUUGUAUAUUAUUUUUAAUAUAUUAUUUUUGAAUACAUUUUUUCAUGCAUUACCAAUAUAAUGUUCUAAACAAAGAAUUGGGAGUAUCCCUUUAAGUAAACACUGUUGAUACUUUGCGAUUUGUCGAGCAGGAGUAUAAAUUAAAGCAAACGACGUGCCAAUUGUUCGGGAAGGGAGGUGACACCACUUUAAAUAAUUAAUGUUGAAAUUGACGAGUUCUUUCUAUUCUAUUUUUAAAUUGCUCAGCUAGCUCUCUUCUACGCAAAAUGUAAAGCACAGAAAUGAUGUGUGAUGUGGAACAGUUUUUAGUAUUUUAGUAAAAUUGCCAUGUAAUGUAUAUAUAUACAGAUAUGAUUGGAUUUGCAAUGCCAUCCAACCAAUGUACCCAGUCUGUCCGAGUGGGCACGAUUAGCGGCAGUAUGUGCAAACGCAGAACAUUUUUCAUUUAUUAACAUUAUUAACAUAAUAAUUAACAGUAUUGCUAAUUAUGAAGAGCCAAAAUAUUCUAUGGUGAUCUGCAAUAUCUCACCUCUUGAUUGACUUCCGCAACUGAACCUAAAAUUCACUUUGAAAUGCAGACAGUAUGUAAGCCUGCCAAAUGGGCCUGUCUGUCAAUAUGAGAAAACAGGACAGGUAUAGUCUUACAUAAAUAUCACAACAUAACUUUGACAAUAAUAUAAAAGGGGUAACAAUUUCCACUGUAUAAAAAUAAAGUUCAUCGUACAUAUAAACAACUUCUUAAAUAGAAAUAAAAAAUAAAAAAAUGAAUUUAUCAUGUAGUUAUGGUGGAAAAGUGAUGAUAAAAUAAUGAGUGUAAGUAAAACAUUGAUAGGGCUGCCAGGAUGCCGAAAGGAUUUAUGUCACGGUUAAAAAGAAACAGUCUGGAAACUCCCUGAUAGUGACAGCCCCUCAUUCCUUCACCUCAGCAAAUGCUGCUGAAGUACUUUUUGGGGUACGCAGGGCAAGUAUAGCUAGGUAGGUGUAAAACAUAUGACAUUCUUUCCAAAGAGUCUGAAUGCACAGCACCAUGGGUUUUUAAUUAAUUUGCAUGGUAUGCCUUGGCUGUGUCAGGAACAGCCGGGCAAAUAAUGUCAUUUAAACAAUAAAAACUAUUGUUAUAUUUUAGUAAGCUAAUGGAACAUGCACAAAUCUCCAGACACACACACACACACAUACUACUGACAUGCUGCCUGGGUGUUUAAAAAAUUAUUUUCUUUUUCUUUUUUUUUUUUAUGAUAAAAUAAAGAAAUUGGAACCAAACAUCCAGUCCGAUUGUCCACCAUAACCACUGUGUAUUGGGAGUUUUUAAGUGUUGCAGUUCAGCUAGCAGGUUUUUUGUUUUACUUAAAGCUGUAUAACCCACGACUAAGUUAAUUCAUAAAGUCCACAAAUUACUCUAUAGCAUCCAGUUUAUAUAACCCUGCACACAUAACUUCAUUCUUUUUCAUGAAUCAAACCUACAGUGGAUAGUAAUAGCGCACGUCCCGGCUAACCCGUAUAUAUAAGGUUUCACUAUCACUCCAUAAAGGGAGCAAUUGGAUUGGCUGAGCCACUUCCUGGUUUGAUGAGAUCUUACUGCACAAGAAGUAAAUGAAGGAACGCCAAAGGUUAUUUCAAAUUUAUUUGUUUGGAAAUUUAUAUUGAAAUAUUUGCAUAACAUACUUAAAAGCACAGGGGAGAUUUAGUUUAAAUCUGCUACCUUUUGAAAGACCAAUGUGAUAGGAAAAAAAAGACAGACACGUAAUUAUGGCCGCAGCAAGUCUCUUUUUUUUUUUUUUUUGCAUUUUUGUAAAAAAAAUAAUAAAAAAUAUUCAAUUUUCUGUUUUUUCUGUUUCUGACUAUCAUUAUUUUAUUAAAUUAAAUAUUAAAAUUAAUAUAAAUUGGAUAUAAUUAGUGUUUUAGAUGUACUGUAACGGGCUUUUCUGUUAAAAAAAGAAUAUAGAUAGAUACAUACAUAUUUUGCUUAAAACUUUCUUUACUUAAGCUCCCCAGCAGCAUAACUUUCACAUAGUAACAGGAUAAACCAAUCAGAAAAAAGAACACAGGUAAUAAAAGUCCCUCCCCCAUUUAGCUCUUCCUCUUUCUUUGCUGCUCCUCACCAGUACAGCUCACUGUCUCCCACUCUGUGGGGAUUACUGUAUUUUAUCUUGUUUUUUCUGAUGUUUCUUUUUAUUCUGUCAUUUCUUAUGGUUUCCCUUAUUAUAUAUGUUUUCUGAGGUACAUCCUGUUUUUAUAAUACUUCUACUUUUGCUUUAUAUUUUUUCCUCUCUUAUUUUACAUGGGUUUUUGCUCUGCUUUCUCUCAGGGUAAUUUUCAUUAUUUUGUUUUGUGUCUUAUUGUUUCUUUUGUGUUGCUUUCAUUUGUCCGGUAUAGCGGCUGGCUUUUUGCCUCCCCGAUUUUCCAGGGCUUUUUCUACCUUGUGGCGGCCAUCUGAGAUCCCGCGCACUAGCGCUAAAUCCUGGCAGCCAUCUUGGAUCCUGCGCGCCUGUGAGAGAUUGCGGUGGCCAUUUUGUUGGAGUCUGCGAUCCGUGCAGGCUCUCUAGUGCGCAUUGAUACCCUAGUUUGCGCCUGGCUCGCGGCUGUCUCCCGCAAAUCGCUGGAUGCUAUCUGAUGCACCUAGCCUUACGUUAGGCUAGGUCAUCUCUCUCAAUGAUUGUAGUUUGCUCUGGGAGGAUUAAAGUUUUAAUUCAAGUAUAAGUGAUUAGUAUAUUGUGUCAUUAAACUAGCUUGCACACAUUGCUAUGAAUCAGUCUGCUUUUGAUUGUUAGUAUAUCAUCCUAAUUCCAUAGAGUGUUUUUCUCAUAUGUAUUCAAGGUUCCUGCAGCAGUCUCACGCACUGCUGCCACCCUUACUUUACCAUCUGUAUCACAGGAUUCAUAUUUAUUAUUAUUUACCUGCAUUACGCUACAGGGUUUAGAGGGUGAGCCCCUCUUAUUGGACCCUUCACUAUAGCAGAGUGGGUACUUCUGCCACAAUACCUAUACUGGGGUAAACCCUCAUAUUAUUAUUAUAUCUACACUAAGCCACUUCUACAUCCAAGUGAUAUUGUAAGGGGUGAAACCCCUAUAUUUAUUUAUGACCACUCUAUCGGGUAUAUUUAUAUUGGUCACUGCAUGGUUUCGCUGUCCCUGGUACAUCUAUCUGAUUGGCCCGCUUUGUCUGUGCCCUAUUACCUCCCUACAGGGUAUAUAUACAACCGGAGGAUUUUUCUACUGGGUCAGCCCCAGUUAUAUAUAUGUGGCUAAAUUUAUUACAUAUAUGCGCACUGGUCCCUGUUUCUAAUACUGGCUUAUUCUGCCCCUCAGGUGAACUGGCUAACAUUAUGGAUUCCGCUCAAGACCAGAAUCUCCAGGCGCUUAUUAACGCAGCAGUGGCUGCUUCUAUUGAAAAGGCCCUAGCACGGGUCCUUCCCUCGGAGCUUAAGGACAAAACUUCCCCCGAGCCACUACGCUCUGCAGAAGAAUGUGAUGACUCAGAUUCCCCCAAGGUGUGCAAAUUGGAAAGGGGAGGGGUUACCUUCUCCAGAUCCCAACGUACGGAAUCCGAUUUCUUCGCGGCUUUCUAUCCAUAUUUUUCCAAUUUCACGAAAUUAUGUGUGGCGUCUACCCUCUCUCAUUACUGAGCUGUUACCGCUUCCCUCCGUUCCUCUCCCUCUGGUCAACUAUUGGUCUCGUACGUUUGCCUCCAUGCCCCAGUCUCAACCACCACCCUGGCACAUUGGAUCAGAUGGUUACUCUCCUUAGCGAGGGUCGAAGCUUCCUUUGGGGCACAUUCGGUCAGGGGGGCGGCGGCCUCAGGUGCAUUUAUGGCAGGUGCUUCUCUACAUGAUAUCCCCAAAUCCACGGAUUGGUCCCGGGAGGAGACUUUCCGCAAUUUCUACUUCAGUCCGGCUGUGUGUCAAAACAGCAAAAUAUGAAGCCUCCUGUCAUGUUAUAAAAUUGUAAAUUUUGCUAGCUUUAGUGUAUCUUAAUUUUAUUAAUGACAGGAGGCGAAUAUUUCCCACCCUUUCUUUUCCCUGUCCCUUUUGUUUGCUUCAUCAGGUAAGACAGAGGGGUGAGUACGGUUGCAGUUCUCUUAUAGCAUGUCUGGUUUUUUGUUCAGUUAGUAACUAUAACUGGUUAAACUCUGAAUUUUAAUCAUCUAGGUUGCAUGCAUUUAGGAGUCCAAUUCUCUGAUGAAUCCCUCCUUUCGACUCUCUUCUUUCGUUUCAGUUUAAAAGGCCUUCCAGUGUGCAGAUUCAAGACCGUUCCUGUUAAUCUUGGACUCUUCUGAGACUUAAUUCCAGUUCGUUCAUCAGUUCCUGUUUGGUUCGUGUCGCAGCCAGAAAGAGGAAGAGCUGAUUUGGGGAGGGACUUUUAUUAUCUGUGUUCCUUUUUUCUGAUUGGUUUAUCCUGUUACUACGUGAAUGUUAUGCUGGGGAGCUUAAGCAAAAUAUGAAGCCUCCUGUCAUGUUAUAAAAUUAAAAUUAUAUUACUAAAGCUAGCAUAAUCUACAAUUAUAGCGCAUAUCACAAAAAUACGUGUUCUUUUUCGUGAAAAGUGCAAAAUGUACUUCACACAAGAACACAAAGAAAAAUAAGUUAAUGUGCGUAUCUUGCACAGUCGUAGCAAUAGCGAUAACGCUUUUUUAGAAAAAUGAUGAACAGAUGGUAUUUUCUGUCCAUUUUUGAAGGAAAAGGGUUACUAUGUGACGCAGUCUGUGACUGUAUUUUGUGAAAGUAUUUGUCGUGUGCACACGGGAUGCAGACACACCACAUUACACAUUACGAACGUGGAAUGGAAAAACUGGCUUUUCUAAAGAGAACAACAAGUCACCUAAAUAUACUUUACUAGCCUUAGUCCCCUAAAUACAUUUCCCAUGAUGCCCCGGUGGCCUAAUUGCUGAAAAAUGAGGGUAUAUACAGUGAUUUAGAUUUUAUUCCUUGUAGAAGAUUGAAGCUAAAUCACAGAUAUGUCAGUGCAGAAGCAUUAUGUGAGCUCCCACAAUGCAGAGUGUGGUAUCCCUUAAUGCAAUGCAAGCUAACCAAUACAUUACAUAAUUUUAUAUGUGAUAUUUUUAUUAUUAUAUAAGGGAAACAAUAAAUAGUAAUUGACCCCAAUUAUCUAAUGCAUUAAAUAGCUAAUGUGUUAAAAAAUAUACAGAAAAAAAAAAGUAAAGUAAAAAAUGAAAACCUAGAUCAGAAAGCUGCUACACUGGAACACAAAGUGUCCACAACUGGAAGGCUCCUCCUCCUAGACCAGGAACAUACCCUUGUCCCCCCCGUAACCUUUGCAGCGUCAUCUACUUUUUACAGUAAUGCUGGUGAUUUACCAAAGUGUGGCUGAAUAAUCUGUACCUUUUCUGAGAUAUUUCUGACCCCCUUUUUGCACUAUUUAUGACAUUUGCAAAUUCUCCAUAAUUUUUUAUUUUGGGUCACUUUUUGUUUAAGGUAUCCCAUUAUUAACAUCAACAUAAUUUUUCCACCAGAAAACUAUUGGUUUUUUCCCUGGAGUUCUCGUACAUUACUUUUUAUCGCGGAGAGCGGCGCAGAAUACUCGCGGGAAACAAAAGGCAAAUACCUAUUUUUCUUUUUGACAAACAUUUAGAAACAUUGAUAUAUCUCCCUCGAUCUGUGGCAAGGCAAGGCAAGGCAAGGCACAAUGACGCAUGAUGCGUUCCACGCCUACAUACAGCCAAUGAUUAAGAGUCAGAUCCAGGUUUGAAACAUGUCAAGUUCUGCUUUCCCUUGUAUUGAGUUAUUCGAAUGACCUAAUCUGAUGUUACUCAACUUUGAAGAAUCACAUAAAAGCAAUCAUUUCCACAGAGCCCCGUGUAUUAUAUGCUGCCUAUGUGAAAGUCCAUUCAUAAAGUGAAUGAAGUAACCUUGCGAAAUUCUAGCUAAAAUAGUCAAAUUGUAACUAAAGCAGAGUUGUUGCAUAUUUUUUUUUUAAAUUAACUUUUGUUGGUGUCAGUUUUGCAAUUCAGGUUUCAAUACAUUGCAAGUCACAGUUUAGUAAAAUAGAUCCCUUUAAAUUGUGUUCGUUAAACACUAAAUUGUAGUAAAAAGGAAAAUUCAUGACAAAGUGCAAAUUGGAGACUAUAGCUAAGCUAAGAAUGAUAUGGAUUUCUGCACAAAUUGGUCAUAAAAUGUGAUCUGAUCAUCAUCUAAGUCACAACAAUAGACAAUCACAGUCUGCUUAAACUAAUAACACACAAAGAAUUAAAUGUGGCCAUGUUUUUAUUGAACACACCAUGUAAACAUUCACAGCGCAAGUGGAAAAAGUAUAUGAACCCCUAGACUAAUGACAUCUCCAAGAGCUAAUUGGAGUGAGAUGUCAGCCAACUGGAGUCCAAUCAAUGAGAUGAGAUUGGAGGUGUUGGCUACAGCUGCCCUGCCCUAUAAAAAACACACACCAGUUCUGUGUUUGCUUUUCACAAGAAGCAUUGCCUGAUGUGAAUGAUGCCUCACACAAAAGAGCUCUAGAAGAACUGCGAUUAAGAAUUGUUGACUUGCAUAAAGCUGGAAAGGGUUAUAAAAGUAUCUCCAAAAGCCUUGCUGUUCAUCAGUCCACGGUAAGACAAAUUGUCUAUAAAUGGAGAAAGUUCAGCACUGCUGUUACUCUCCCUAGGAGUGGCCGUCCUGUAAAGAUGACUGCAAGAGCACAGCGCAGUCUGCUCAAUGAGGUGAAGAAGAAUCCUAGAGUGUCAGCUAAAGACUUACAAAAGUCACUGGCAAAUGCUAACAUCCCUGUUAGCGAAUCUACAAUACGUAAAACACUAAACAAGAAUGGAUUUCAUGGGAGGAUACCACAGAGGAAGCCACUGCUGUCCAAACAAAACAUUGCUGCACGUUUACAGUUUGCACAAGAGCACCUGGAUGUUCCACAGCAGUACUGGCAAAAUAUUCUGUGGAUAGAUGAAACCAAAGUUGAGUUGUUUGGAAGAAACACACAACACUAUGUGUGGCGAAAAAAAGGCACAGCACACCAACAUCAAAACCUCAUCCCAGCUGUGAAGUAUGGUGGUGGGGGCAUCAUGGUUUGGGGCUGCUUUGCUGCGUCAGGGCCUGGACGGAUUGCUAUCAUCGAAGGAAAAGUUAAUUCCCAAGUUUAUCAAGACAUUUUGCAGGAGAACUUAAGGCCAUCUGUCUACCAGCUGAAGCUCAACAGAAGAUGGGUGUUGCAACAGGACAAUGACCCAAAGCAUAGAAGUAAAUCAACAACAGAAUGGCUUAAACAGAAGAAAAUACGCUUUCUGAAGUGGCCCAGUCAGAGUCCUGACCUCAACCCGAUUGAGAUGCUGUGGCAUGACCUCAAGAAAGCGAUUCACACCAGACAUCCCAAGAAUAUUGCUGAACUGAAACAGUUCUGUAAAGAGGAAUGGUCAAGAAUUACUUUUUCCACCUGCACUGUGAAUGUUUACAUGGUGUGUUCAAUAAAAACAUGGCAACAUUUCAUUCUUUGUGUGUUAUUAGUUUAAGCAGACUGUGAUUGUCUAUUGUUGUGACUUAGAUGAUGAUCGGAUCACAUUUUAUGACCAAUUUGUGCAGAAAUCCAUAUCGUUCCAAAGGGUUCACAUACUUUUUCUUGCAACUGUAUACUCACCUUCUGGUGACCUCACCUGGAUGAUGUUUUGCCAAUCAGGGGCCACUCAUUCUGGCCUGUGAGGUCUGUCCAGAAGUGGUUUAUGUAUAAGGAGUUUAACCCUUAAGAGCAGAGGCAGUCAUCACACAGGGUUAACUGCUCAAUAAUCUGAUAUAAGUUAUGUGCGUCUGCUAACCGUGUACACACAGACUGGUACACACAGACUGGUUCACACUUUAGUGAACUGAGCCGUAUGUUAAUUACAGGGAGAGGAGAGAGAUUAUCCUACGUUGCAUGGGCAGCGUACAAAUACCGCAUACCGAUCUUGGACAGAAUGAACACAGGCUGCCUGAAAAAAUAGAAUUCCAGCUAUGAAUGACAGCUGGGGGACAGACGUACAGACUUACGAGAUUAUUAACACCAGAUUUUAACUGGAUGAAUAAAAUUUGGUGAAAAUAACAACAUUCCUACUGCAUUGGGAAUUCGUAGUAUUACUAAAUCCAGAUACGGAUGGAAUUCCCUCUGUCUGGCCUGGUGUGAAGCAGUUGUAUGGAUGCAUUAGGUGUCUGGAUUAAAAACGCCGCUUUCACAUCUGAACCUAUACGAAGGUUUACAAAGCGCCAGCUUUAACAAAAUUCAGUAGGGUGCACGUUAGCAAAAUUAACAUUAUUUUCAGUUUUUCAAGUGAAUUGAUCAUUUGAGGAACGGUUUGUCCAUUGGGCAAACAGUUAAAAAACAACAACUUUGCAGCAUAAAGGUUAACCUCUUAAGGACACAUGACAUGUGUGACGUGUCAUGAUUCCCUUUUAUUCCAGAAGUUUGGUCCUUUAGGGGUUAAUUAUGGGCUGCUGUCUGCCACAUGAAAUAUUUUAUAUAAAUAAAUAGCCUAUAGGAGUCAUUAUUACUAUAAAGGUAUACUCACAUGGCAUGGCAUAGGGAACGUGGAGGCGUCCUGCUGGCAGAGCAUGGAGACUAGGGGCAGAAAUCUCACUGCAGUUCUCAGUCUGCUCCCUUGCGCGGCCUGCUGUGAUACCGGAAGCCGAGAUAUGAUGUCAUUCCAGCCCCCGCAUUACUAUACAGUGCGUGAGGGAGCAGAGCAAGCAGAGCUUGAAGAUUAAACAAGAUUACACUAAAGCCCAGGAUAAUAAUCCACUCCAGCUCUAACAAAGGUGCACAGAAAUAAAAAUAAAAAACAAAUAUAUGUGAGUGUGUGAAGAAAUGUGUCUGUCAGUGAGGGAGUGUUUUAGGUUACUGGCCCCUCUCUGAUCACAUGGGAAAGGUGUCGAUCUCAGCCAAGCCAAUGCUUCUUCGUAGGAAAACAUUGGGAGGCUAUUGCUAAUGCGUAACAAAACGCCACUCAGCGCCAAUCAGCAUAUCCUUAAAGAUAUGCUUUGAAUCCAUGCAUCUAUGGGGAACAUUCAGCGCCUCCAUGCAGAGCGUGGAGACGCUGAACGUCAGUGCUGCCUACUGUGCAGCCCUGGACUAGGAAGCACCUCUAGUAGCCAUCUGAGUGACUGUCAGUAGAAGUGUUACAAGGCAGCAAAGUAAACACUGCAAUUUCUCUAAAAAGGCAGUGUUUACAUUGCUCUGCCGACAGGGACAGGAGACACCAGAACCACUAUAUUAAGCUGUAGUGGUUCUGGUGACUAUAGUAUCCCUUUAAGAUAUGUAUUUUUGUCAUUGAAAGUGAAACAUUCUUAGUUAAAAAAAUCAAACAAAAAAAACUGGAAACUAACUUUUUAGCUGGCUCCUAGAUUCCAAGCAAAUUUGUCAAGCCCUGGUCUAUAAUAUAGAUUAGGGAGUAGUGAUAGGCUGAGAGUCCCUUUAAUUUUAUGCCUUCAACAUUCUGACAUACAUCUCAUAUCAGCGAGGGGAUCUAUGGCAGAUUGCAAACUUAGUGUAAACAGUCAACUAAGUUAUACUAUAAAAUGUUAUCUGUUAGUACACGGCUUGAAAAUUUUUCUUUGAAUCUAGGAGCCAGCUACAAAAGUUAGGAGCCAGGUUUUUUAAUCUUACAAAGCUUUAUUUUCUACAACAAAAACACAAUUCUUAAAGAGACACUAUAGUCACCAUGAGCACUACAGCUUAAUGUAAUGGUUCUGGGGUCUAUAGCCUGUCCCUGCAGGCUUUCCAAUGUAAACAAUUACUUUUCAGAGAAAAAGCAGUGCUUACACUGCUGCCUAGUGAUACCUCUAGUGGCAGUAACUCAGACAGCCACUAAAGUGCUUUCUAUUCCAGGGCUGCACAGUAGGCAGCAUCUACAAUCAACACCUCAACACUCUGCAUGGAGGCGCUGAAUGUUCCCCAUAGAUAUGCUCUAGGAGGGUAUGCUGACUGGCAGCGUUAUGCAGCGCAUGCACAGUAGCUUCUCAGUUGGAUUGGCAGAGAUCAUCAAUCUGAUUAUUUCAGCCAUAGAGAUGGGGCCAGCUGUAGGGGGUGGGGGGAGUAUAAACACCAUUCCCACAUGAUCGGAGGAGGGGCUGGUCACCUAAGCACAAGCACACACAUACACUGACACACAGAUGCACAUAUACAUUAUUGAUAGACAAACACACAUGCUGACAGACAGGCACGCACACACAUAAACUGUCAAACAUACUCACAGAUACAGACAUACACUGACAGACACAUGCACAUUUACAUUGAUGGACACACACACAUGCUGUAUCUAAUGUUUGUGUGUAUUAGAUACUGUUUGUGCAGUGAAUGCAGAGUGUGUGUUUGUGUAGCGGAUGCAGUGUGUAUAGUGAACGCAGAGUGUGUUUGAGUAGUGGAUGUAGUGUGUGUACAGUGAUGUAGUGUGUGUUGUGUAGUGGAUGUAGUGUUUGUGUGUACUAGAUGAAAUGUGUUUAGUGGACGCAGUGUCUGUAUUAGACGCAGUGUCUGUGUAUAGUGAAUGCGGAGUGUUUCAAUGUGUGGUGGAUGUAGUGUGUGUACUGUGAAUACAGGAUGUUUGUGUAGUGGAUGCUGUGUGUACAGUUAAUGUAGAGUGUAUGUUAGUGUAGUGAAUGCAGAGUGUGUGUCAGUAUAGUGAAUGCAGAGUGUGUGCAUAGUUUAGUGAAUGCAGAGUGUGUGUUAAUGUAUAGUGAAUGCAGAGAGUGUGUUAGUGUGUAGCGGAUGCAGAGUGUGUGUCGGUGUAGUGAAUGCAGAGUGUGUGUCAGUGUAGUGAAUGCAGAGUGUGUGUCAAUGUAGUGAAUGCAGAGUGUGUGUCAGUGUAGUGAACACAGAGUGUGUGUUAGUGUGUAGUGAAUGCAGAAUGUGUGUUAGUGUAGUGAAUGCAGAAUGUGUGUAAGUGUAGUGAAUGCAGUGUGUGUUAAUGUGCAAUCUAGGGGAGAGGGGCUGGAGGAAGGGGCAUUUUCACAUUAAUUUUAUAUUAAUUUCAUUAAAUGUUUCUCCCCCCCUCCCUGCUUCUUACCUGUGUCCAGGGAGGGGGGAGAUUACAUCCCUGGUGGUCCGGUGGCAUGGGGGGGCCCCGGCUCCCUGUUACCGCAGAGGGGGCCCAGCACACUGCCUCUACUCUUCUCUUCUAAUAACUCUCGCGAGUAACCCGUGGCAACACUCAGAAGGCCACGGGUCUCGCAAGAGUUAUUAGAAGAGAGGAGAAGAGUAGAGGCAGUGUGCUGGGCCCCCUCUGCGGUAACAGGGAGCCGGGGGCCCGCGGCUGCAAACAUAGAUAGCGAUAUUCGCUAUGUGUGCAGAGAGGGAAUGUGGGGCCCGAGACUGCCAGAGCAGACCGGGCCCCCCAGGACCGCCGGGCCCGUUACAACCAUCAUGGUUGUCACCCGCUGAUGGCGGCCCUGGUCAACAGAACAGCUUAUUGUAUUUGUUCUGGUGAGUAUAAUUAGUCCCUGCAGACUUUUUGCUGUAAACACUGUCUUUUCUGAGAAAAGGCAGUGUUUACAUUACAGCCUAGUGAUAACUUCACUGGCCACUCCUCAGAUGGCUACUAGAGGAACUUCCUGGGGCAGUGCAGGACACUGCAGCACUGCCAUUCGGUGUCUUCACCCUCAGCAUGGAGGCACUGAACUUUCCUCAUAGAGAUGCAUUGAUUCAAUGCCUCCUUGGCUGAGAUCAUCAGAAUUGACAAUCUCAGCCAAUCCAAUGCUUUCCUAUGGGAAAGCUUUGUGACUGGCUGAAAUCAUCCAAGCAGACAGAUCGGGGCAGAGCCAGCACCAGCAGACUGGAAUAAAGGAAAGAUUUUUCUAUAUUUAGGGGGACAAGGGAGGGGCCAGGGGGGCUAGAGAUUGUUUUUUUUCAGGAAUACCUGUUUGUGUUCUUGGCCCUAUAGUGUCCCUUUAACAAAUGAUAUAGGGUAUUUUCCAUAAAAUAAUCCUUUGUUGGACAUAGCCUCCAGUAAAUCUGUGCGGAAUACAAAAUAGAACUUAGUAUAAGAUGGAGGACAAACUCAGUUUUGGGUGGAUAGAUAGCAGAAGUAUGGAUUUUUAAACCAAUGCUGUUAUAAGAUACAAUACUUUACAAGGUGUACGUGUAGUUUCUCCAAUUAUGCUGAAAUAGCUAUUUUAUUGUCCUUUCCUUUUGCCGUCCCUCGCGAUCGCUGCCAUGUUUAGGCUGCAGAUCCCUUCGGGUCCUGGCUCUUCACAUUACCCUCAUGCAUGCGCAAGAUUAAAACACGGAGGUCUAUGGAGGAUCCUGCAAGAUAAUCCACAGAAAAGGCUUGAAGCACACAGCCAUCCGACGGCUACUGGGAUUGGACAAAAGUUGACAGACUUUACCAUAAGACACAGUAGUCCCUACUUUGUCUUAGGAUAACUUUGGAUUUUGUUGGGAUUUCAGUAAAAUUCCAAUACAGCCUUAAUCAGCAUUUUAUAAAGAAUAUAUAAAAAGUGACAGAUCUGCUUUAAAUGAUGCAUACUAUUAUUUGGUACAAGUUAGGUCCCCACUCAUAUCUAAUUUUAGUAAUGUGGGAUCCAGACUAAUAACACAAGGUUUUGGAUUUACUCUGCUUUAAUGAAUAGCCCUGUAAUAUGUUCACCCAAAAUAAUGACCACUUAUUGCCUCAAAUUAUUUAUGCAGAAAACACUCUUCUUCUCUGGCUCUUUAAGGGUUAAUAGUAAGAUAUUAUCUGUAGAACACCAACUCCACUGAGGCCUGGAACACGCUGUAUCAUAAGUAUUUCACAAAACACUGCGAAUCAACCCAAAUAUAAGCACAACUGUGGCAGACAUUAGUCAGGAUUUCCUUUACUUUAUGGAGUUUUUCUUCCAAAAACAAACGUUUUGGGGGGAUGGUGGUAAUUCUGGGGAAUAACUAUAUAUCUUAUUUCUUGGGAAAACAUUUUAAUAAACCAAAGCAACAAAACAUAUUAAAUUAUAAUACUAAAAAAAAAAUGGAGGUUCCUUCACUAGACAGUGAUUUGUUAUAAAUUUAAAGGGACUCUCUAACAGCCCACAAUAGAUUGGUUAUGGUGGAAGUAAGCCCCUUGCACCGUCCCAUAAUCCCGUGUCAAACCAUUUACAAACUGUCUGACACCAAGAGUACCCUAAGCACCUACAGCCUCCCUCGCUCGCCAUAUUGCUACUGCUGAAUUUAUUUUGUCUAAUAUGUAAGAGUAAUUUCAACUUAAUUUUAGCAGUAUUCAUUGGCUAAAUGUGUCAGCUGGGUUGCUCUCAGCCAAUCAAUGCUCUCCAAACUUGCCCGAAACUUACAUUUUCAAAACCAAACUCUAAUUUCUGCAUUAGCAACCCAGCGUGUAGCCUACUAGAACCACUACGAUGGACUGUAACAUUUAUGAUGCUCAGUGUCUCUUUGACAGUCACACCGAUGAAAAAUGUACCCACAAUCAUCUAUAACUUGUUAAUACUUUUUUUUUUUUUAAGUGAUGCUUUCGUUUUUUUCUAAAAAUGUAUAUUAAAAAUUUAGCAAGUGACAUCACAAUCCAUGUCAGUACCUGGCACAGCCAUGGCAUACAAUGCAAAUGACAAAGAGAAAUAGGAUAGCUUGGUUUCUCCUCUAACAGCAACUAAAUGCAAUGGAAUUAAAGUGUAACAUUUAUGAUGAUUGACCAUAGUAAAGAUUAAGGUGCCCAGCUCAGGGAUAUUUUAGUACAUUUCCACAUUUAAUUUAAUUAACCAAAUGUCAAAAUUAACAUAUUUUCAAAUAUAAGAGAUAGGAAAACAGAAUAUUGAAAAUCCCGUGAGGUUACAGUUCUUCUUUAAAUCAGAAUUUAUAAAAUUACCAACAUAGUUAAUUCUGGAACAUUUUCUACUUUAUCAAUUUUAGCAUGAAUUCUCAAUUUCCAUUUCCAAGUCGCUAAACGCCAAACUGUGGAAAAUUGAAAACAGAAUUGCAGAUUUGAGGUUAAAAUAGCCGUUUUAUGAUUGUAACUGAUUUCAGAUCAGCUGUUUUGCCUACAUUUUCCAUUUCUAAAUAGCAGAAGUGGAACAUUCUCUGUCAGCUUUCAAUUUGAAAACUUUCGCCUUAAAACAGAAAUACUCCAUUAGUAAACAACCCUGGAAGAUACAUGUUACAUUAACCGACCAGGGUUGUAAAUACUUUACCAAAUUGCCAUGUUUUCCUGGACACAAAUCACUGCCAGCUUUAAAAGCAGUACAUGAAAAGUUCUCCCCUUUAAGUAUUCAUAUGCUGUAGAAGAGAUCCAGCAGAAUAUGAAUUCUACAGACUGCAGGGUAGCACUUUCCAUGCCUUAGUCUGUCUGCAGGAAGAGAUGAUGUCAGUCCAGGCUCACCAUUUACUGGAGGGGUUAACCAAUGAUAGUAAUGGAUGUGAUGAGAGAAUUGGGAUACAAUCUUAGUAAAUAGUGUCCUUUGCCAGCUGUAAUCCCUCUCUAUUCAGAACAGGACAGGCCUCUCAUAUAUAGCUGUUAACCCCUUCCGUGCCAGCCUGGUAGGCUGAUAGAAUUCCUACCAUAGUAGAGUAUAUGAACCUGAUGCCCAGCUGGUGUAUCUACCCUGUUGCACUGAAGGGGUGUUUUCUGUAAAUAACAGGGAGGCUGGCAGUGUUAUAAGGGGAGAUCAGCUGUUACAGGACUACAACUCCCAUGAAGCUUUGCCGACCUGUAGCCUGAUUCUGCAAUUAUCAGUCUAAUGAUUGGACUCUUUUACUGCAUUACCCAUGAGACACAAAGUGUAAUGAUCACUCUAAUAAAAGGGGUCGGAAGGGGGGCUGUUAACUGGAAAUCGGGAAGAAGGCAAGCUACUCACCCUGACUUCCUGCUUGGAGAUCAGGGCCCCCAAUAAUCCUCCACAAAGUGUGGGAUCUGGGCCCCAAUAAUGCAGCACCAAGUGGAGGGAUCAGGAUCCCCCAGUAAUCAUCUUCACACAGUCAGGGAUCUGUGUACCCCAGUAAUCCUGCACACAGUGUACCCCAAUAAUCCAAUACACAGAGGGAAUAUCAGGGGCCCCAGCAAUCCUUCACAAAGUUGGGGUGAUCACCAGAGAUCAGGGUGUCCCAGUAAACUGCACACAGUUGUGUGACCAUGCAGAGAGAUGGAGGUCCCUCAGUAAUCCUGCACACAGUGGGGUCCUCAUGCAGACAAAUCAGAGUGUCCCAGUAAUCCUGCACAGAGUGGGGUCCUCAUGCAGACAAAUCGGGGUGUCCCAGUAAUCCUGCACACAGUGGGGUCCUCAUGCAGACAAAUCGGGGUGUCCCAGUAAUCCUGCACACAGUGGGGUCCUCAUGCAGACAAAUCGGAGUGUCCCAGUAAUCCUGCACACAGUGGGGUCCUCAUGCAGACAAAUCAGGGUCCCUCGAAUUCCUGACCACAGUGGGUUGCUCAUGCAGUUACAUAAGGAUCCCCCACUAAUCCUGCACAAAAUGGGGUACACAUUCACAACGAUCCAAUUAUUCCUGCACAGAUCAGGGGUCCUCAGAAAUACUGCACAGAGUGGGGUGACCAUGCAGGCAGAUCAAGGUACCCCAGUAAUCCUGCACUCAGAUCAGGGUACCCCAGUAAUCCUGCACUCAGAUCAGGGUACCCCAGUAAUCCUGCAGACAGAUCAGGGUACCCCAGUAAUCCUGCACUCAGAUCAGGGUACCCCAGUAAUCCUGCACUCAGAUCAGGGUACCCCAGUAAUCCUGCAGACAGAUCAGGGUACCCCAGUAAUCCUGCAGACAGAUCAGGGUACCCCAGUAAUCCUGCAGACAGAUCAGGGUACCCCAGUAAUCCUGCAGACAGAUCAGGGGUGCAGCAGUAGGUGACAGCUCAGUCCUGGGACAGGAAAUCUGUGAAUUCCACUACAGCUACAGUAACUGCAAACAAAGUAUCCCAAGGUCUGUAAAGUUCCCAGCGGGGGGGAGGGGCAGUGAUGGGUCCUGGGACCCCCUUUACUGCGCAGAGAGUUGGAGCCAAUGUGAGCAGCUCAGAGCAGGAACAGAGUGGGGAGGGGGCAAGAACUAUGAUGUCAGCAGAUCUGCCCCAGAGACAGGAAACUGUGAUCCACA